Molecule: ribosomal RNA, 740 nt
Filed under: uncultured bacterium
Lineage: Bacteria
Description: bacterial SSU rRNA
Rfam family: Bacterial small subunit ribosomal RNA
Source: RNAcentral
AGAGUUUGAUCAUGGCUCAGAACGAACGCUGGCGGCAGGCUUAACACAUGCAAGUCGAGCGCCCAGCAAUGGGAGCGGCGGACGGGUGAGUAACACGUGGGAACAUGCCUAUCGGUACGGAAUAACUCAGGGAAACUUGUGCUAAUACCGUAUACGCCCGAAAGGGGAAAGAUUUAUCGCCGAUAGAUUGGCCCGCGCCUGAUUAGCUUGUUGGUGAGGUAAUGGCUCACCAAGGCUUCGAUCAGUAGCUGGUUUGAGAGAGCGACCAGCCACACUGGGACUGAGACACGGCCCAGACUCCUACGGGAGGCAGCAGUGGGGAAUCUUGGACAAUGGGCGAAAGCCUGAUCCAGCCAUGCCGCGUGAGUGAUGAAGGCCCUAGGGUUGUAAAACUCUUUCGGCGGGGACGAUAAUGACGGUACCCGCAGAAGAAGCUCCGGCUAACUUCGUGCCAGCAGCCGCGGUAAUACGAAGGGGGCUAGCGUUGUUCGGAAUUACUGGGCGUAAAGCGUGCGCAGGCGGCUCAUCAAGUCAGAGGUGAAAGCCCAGGGCUCAACCCUGGAACUGCCUUUGAAACUGUUGGGCUUGAGUACGGGAGAGGUGAGUGGAAUUCCGAGUGUAGAGGUGAAAUUCGUAGAUAUUCGGAAGAACACCAGUGGCGAAGGCGGCUCACUGGACCGUAACUGACGCUCAUGCACGAUAGCGUGGGGAGCAAACAGGAUUAGAUACCCUAGUAGUCC